This is a small nuclear RNA of Callipepla squamata (scaled quail), 108 nucleotides long. The record is from Rfam. NCBI's taxonomy places the organism in Eukaryota, Metazoa, Chordata, Aves, Galliformes, Odontophoridae.
GUGCUGGCUUUGGCUGCAUGUAUGCUAAAAUAGGGGCGAUACAGAGAAGGUUUGCAUGGCCCCUGUGCAACGACAACAUACCAAAUCUGUGAUGGAUUGAUGGGCUGA